AUUGAACGCUGGCGGCAUGCCUUACACAUGCAAGUCGAACGGCAGCAUGGAGAGCUUGCUCUCUGAUGGCGAGUGGCGAACGGGUGAGUAAUGCAUCGGAACGUACCGUGUAAUGGGGGAUAACGUAGCGAAAGUUACGCUAAUACCGCAUACGACCUGAGGGUGAAAGCAGGGGAUCGCAAGACCUUGCGUUAUACGAGCGGCCGAUGUCAGAUUAGCUAGUCGGUGAGGUAAAGGCUCACCAAGGCGACGAUCUGUAGCGGGUCUGAGAGGAUGAUCCGCCACACUGGGACUGAGACACGGCCCAGACUCCUACGGGAGGCAGCAGUGGGGAAUUUUGGACAAUGGGGGCAACCCUGAUUCAGCCAUGCCGCGUGAGUGAAGAAGGCCUUCGGGUUGUAAAGCUCUUUCGGCCGGGAAGAAAUCGCACAGGCUAAUACUCUGUGUGGAUGACGGUACCGGCAUAAGAAGCACCGGCUAACUACGUGCCAGCCGCCGCAGUAA
RNAcentral lists this ribosomal RNA (504 nucleotides) under uncultured bacterium. Its description in RNAcentral is "partial 16S ribosomal RNA". It matches the Rfam family "Bacterial small subunit ribosomal RNA", at positions 30 to 523 of the family's 1533-position model. The record is from RNAcentral.